This is an RNA transcript of Triticum aestivum (bread wheat), 3789 nucleotides long. It is a transcript of the gene named 26S proteasome regulatory subunit 7, with no coding region annotated. The transcript has 5 exons. NCBI's taxonomy places the organism in Eukaryota, Viridiplantae, Streptophyta, Magnoliopsida, Poales, Poaceae. The record is from RefSeq and is a predicted model, not a curated record.
AGAAAAGAAAAUAGGUUGUCAGAUCUCCUUAUCUUGUCGCUGCUGCCUACCUGCGCCUGGAUCCAAAGUCCAAACCCUAGCCGCCUCUCUCUCUCUCUCCCCUCACAGGCUCAGAUCUCCUACCACCACCAUGGAAGGCUCUCUCCUCAGAUCCAUGGAAUGGCUUCACUCUUCCUUCCUUCCUUCCAACAGCCUGCGGCCGCCGGCGCACCCUUCUUCCAUGGCGAUGGCGAGAGGGAUGGGAUCUAGCCCCGCCCAGCCCCGCCGGCAGCAGCGUGCGUCCCACAACUACUCCAGAUGGGAAACAGCACGGUCCGCUCCCGGCCGGAGACUCUCGCAGCGGCCGGAGCGCCAACGUUUGCCGACCUUCAUCGCCUUUUCUCUUGGUCUGAUGGGUUGGUUUGGUUCCAUCUCUCUCUCUCUAUUUUAUGUUACACAAGUAUUACACAUGGAUGGAUAUUUCCCAUCCAUCGAGUAAAACGAAUAUCCCAGCCCUGUUAGGCCGUCUCCUGUGUAUGUAUGUGCAGAGUUUUUUUGUUUUUGAUUUGUUAUAAUCUUCUGUAUGUAUAUCACCGGAGGACAAAGUAAAAGAAAAUAAAUCCUUCUUCACAAGAAGAUUCACCCGAUCGAGUACUGUUUUCAGGCUGUUUGGAUCUUUCGGAAUUUUUCCUAAAAGGAUUUCAAACUCUUUCAAAGCAUUCUUGCAGUCUUUUGUCUUUUAUAAGAAAAAUAAUAAUAUAAAUCUCAAACCUCUUCUUUGCAAUUCCCUUAUUACUUCUUUUGGUGGUGAAACACUCUUUGCUGAGUUUUUUUCUUUUUCUUUUGCCACACCCCUUAGUACCACUUAACUUAUAUAGGUCCUAAUACAUACAUACAGAGAUAACAAUCCAAAGUAAUCCCUCCGUCCCAUAAUAUAAGACGCUUUUUGACACUACACUAGUGUUAGAAAAACAUCUUACAUUAUGGGACGGCGUAGUACAUUUUAUUUGCCUAGCUCUCUGUCGCUCAGCCUUUUUAUCUUAGCACUUACCCUCACAUUCUUUAAUGUCAUUUUUCACCAGCGCCGGGGAGGGAGUUAUUGGCUAGCAUUUGUGUUAGUGAAUGGAGGAUAGAUGCUUGCUUGAUACUACUCCCUCUGUAAAGAAAUAUAAGAUUAGUAGUGAUCUAAAUGAUCUUAUAUUUUUUUUACAUAGGGAGUACGAGUUUAGGGCCUCUUUGGCUUGGUAGUAAAAGCAGAGGAAAAUUGUUGGACUAUGAAAAUUUUCUUUGGUGCAUCUAUUUGCUUUACGAAAGAAAAAAAGGAAAAAAAAAGCAAAGAGUUUUCCUUUGGUCUAUGUCCCAAAGGCAAAAUAAAUAGAAAUUUGACAUCUACUCCCUCCGUUUGGAAUUACUUGUCGCCGAAAUGGAUGUAUCUAGACAUAUUUUAGUUCUAGAUACAUUCAUUUUCGAGGCAAGUAGAUACCGGACAGCCGAGAGUUAGUUUUUUUAGAGUAAGAACAUUGAAGUCAUACUUUUGCUUGUGAUUUGAUUUGACUUAAAAAAAUUAAUUUUGUUUUGUGUUUCUGUUUGGUUUUUGAUUUUUUAAUCAAGUUACAUAAAGUUAACAAUAUUUAUGUGUCUAACAAUCGUUCUGCAAGCAUGGUUCUAUCAGAUUGGUGCACUGUCAAAUCGUCCAUUUGCUUGUGAGGUUUAUUUACUUUUUGAAGUAUGUGCUCAUGUUUUUUGGGGAUAUGCGCACAGAUGGAGUGGUUCACAGCCUGUCCCCAUUUUCAUUUUGGUAGCAGUCGUGUCGAUGCCAAAGCUGUCCACUCGCUCUCUCUCUCUAUAUAUAUAUACACUCCCUCCGUUCGGAAUUACUUGUCUCAAAAAUUGAUGUAUCUAGUUCUAGAUACAUCCAUUUUCGCGACAAGUAAUUCCGAACGGAGGGAGUAUAUAUAAAGAUACCCAUCCAAUCCAUACAAUGUUUUUUUUGUAGUACUACUUACCUCGCUAGCAAUAGCUUUUUCUUCUGUUGUACAAUUACCAGACCGUCUCGUGUAUCCUUCUUUUGUACUCCCUCCGUCCGGAAAUACAUGUCGGAGAAAUGGAUAAAAAUGGAUGUAUCUAGAACUAAAAUCCGUCUAGAUACAUCCAUUUCUCCGACAAGUAUUUCGGGACGGAGGGAGUAGUACGCUAGUAUCGCUUCAUUAUCUGAAUUCUGAAGGUCCUUCAUUUUGGUAUUCAUUCAAUUCUUUCAUGCUUUUUGUUCAGGUAAUUAAGGACCUUGGAUUCCUUUGUUCAGGCAUCUUGGGUUUGCUAGUGCCAGGCAGAGAUGCUACAUUUGUUGUCUUGUGAUGUGAAUAAGGUGUCCACGUCCACAAGACAUCAACUCAUUGGGAUAAAGCAGCGUGAUACUGGAUUGGCUCCACCAAGCCAGUGGGAUCUCGUGCCUGAUAAACAGAUGAUGCUAGAGGAGCAACCAUUGCAGAUGCACGGAGAUAACAAGUCCAAAUACUGAUGAUGCCAAAUGCCAUAAAAAACAAAUCGCAAAGGUCUGUCAUCAUUGUACUAUCUUAGGCCAAUCACAUCUUCUGGAGGUUCGGACAAAGUUCCCCCCACUGAUAUCAAGGAAGGAAUGAUAGUUCGGCAAGUUGCCUGUUCUCUCUAGUGAGUUACAUCUUGGCUAUUGCCUACUAGCAUGAUCUACUCCCUCUGUAAAGAAAUAUAAGAGUGCUUAGAUCACUAAAGUAGUUAUCUAAACGCUCUUAUAUUUCUUUACGGAGGGAGUAGCGAUAAGCACUAUGAUAUAUAGUAAGCAACAGUUAAUUCAGGUGUUCUUGCUGCAAGGAGUCAUGUUAUGUUUAUGCUUUGUGUCCACACUUUCAGUUUGACUCAAAUAUAUUCUGGACAGUUUGAUUUUUAACAAGACCGGAUAAUGAUAAUGAUAAUAAGAUCGAAGGAUAAGCUUACAACAUGUGUAUGCAAAGAAGAGAAUUUAAAUCUCAAACUGAGCUAGCCUUGUCCACAACCCAGCUCUUGUGACUACUUUGAUUCAAUACCCUGUUGAAGACAAUUACACAAAAGCUCCAGAAAUAGAGCACAUUGAUUGUACCAUAGGUGACUUAACCCCCCAUUGAUAUCCUAGUGUGAUGCAGGACAGGAAGAAAUUCAAAUAGUAACAAGAGGCUUGGGCACAAAGAUCCAGGACGAUAUAUAUGCUCUAUGUAUGCAAAUCUACCUAGCGAGCUUGAAACGAAGAUUUUUGAGACAAAGAGAGGGAUAAAUUUAAACCCUAUAUGAUCAAGGCACAAAGAUCCAGAAGUAGAAAUGUGCCAAAGCUGGGGCGUCCCAUGGUCCCUAGCGAGCUAGGAUGCCCACGAAAUGAAUCUGAGGGUGCGAAUAGCUCAGCUCGGGCAGAUAAAAUGUUGUAAUGUCCAGACUAGAGCAGCAGCACAAGAUGAAGUGUAAUUGUAAUACGGAAUUACUUGUCACAAAAAUGGAUGUAUCUACAACUAAAAUACAUCUAGAUACAUUCAUUUCUUGACGAGUAAUUCCGAACGGGGAGGGAGUACUAGACUAGAGCAGCUCCUUGCUAUCCUGACACUCUGUUUUUAGUGGCCUUGCCCAAAACUGAAGGAAUGCUUCGAGUGUGCAAUAGGAGGAAAUGCAGCAGCAGCAAAACAAACAAAAUUGGAUUACCUCGGUCUUCACUCCAUUUUGAGGUGGUUGAUGUCUCUGGCCCUGCAGAGCAGACAUGAUGGAUUGUUUGAUUUAGUGAAGAAAUAAAUACUCUGAGAUUAGAUUAGAUUA